AAAGGCCGGAAGUCUCAGUCCGGAGAGCUCCGGAUUCCUCAUGCCCCACCUCGGGUACCUUCUUCCUGUGACUCUAGGUAGCCAUCUUUGAAGCAAAUACCUCCCAGGCUUCUUACAAGCUCGAGUUUCUGUGUCUGGAAUGCAUGAGUGUAACCUAAUGAUGCACAGCCUUCAAAACUCAGAGAUCUCAAGAAAUGGAGGGAAGCUGUCCUCGGAGGAGCCAUUUUGAAGGAAAGAUUUUCUGAAGUGAAUUGUGGACUGCAGAAGUUUUAGAUUGUCUGCAGAGGAGGGGGGAGAAUGACUUUAUGAGAAUCACAAGGUUACCCGGGGAGCACGCUGGAAAGAGACUUUUAUCCGGACUUAUCAGCAAGGAGUUUUUAGAAUAAUGUUGUAGCUCAAUAUAAAUAUAAAACGAGUGAAAAUUAACCUUCCCUUGAACCAUGUGGACUAUAGAGUUCAUUAUUUUUUAAAAUAUUCGCAGAUAUGCUGCUUAGAGAUAAAAGAUGUUUCUAGGGAAGGUACCGCAUGCCUUUGGCUCUUUGUGAAUAAAAUCAUGCUCUUUUAUUUCUGACUCUGGGAUAUACUAGGUUGGAAUAUGUUGGGGGAGACUGACUGUAUAGUCACUGUAUCCAAGUAUGUACUUUUAGCCAUA
Mus musculus (house mouse) is the source of this 652-nucleotide long non-coding RNA. RefSeq annotates it as predicted gene, 39659. The record is from RefSeq and is a predicted model, not a curated record. NCBI's taxonomy places the organism in Eukaryota, Metazoa, Chordata, Mammalia, Rodentia, Muridae. The transcript is spliced from 3 exons.